AUUGAACGCUGGCGGCAGGCCUAACACAUGCAAGUCGAGCGGCAGCGGGAAAGUAGCUUGCUACUUUUGCCGGCGAGCGGCGGACGGGUGAGUAAUGCCUGGGGAUCUGCCCAGUCGAGGGGGAUAACUACUGGAAACGGUAGCUAAUACCGCAUACGCCCUACGGGGGAAAGCAGGGGACCUUCGGGCCUUGCGCGAUUGGAUGAACCCAGGUGGGAUUAGCUAGUUGGUGAGGUAAUGGCUCACCAAGGCGACGAUCCCUAGCUGGUCUGAGAGGAUGAUCAGCCACACUGGAACUGAGACACGGUCCAGACUCCUACGGGAGGCAGCAGUGGGGAAUAUUGCACAAUGGGGGAAACCCUGAUGCAGCCAUGCCGCGUGUGUGAAGAAGGCCUUCGGGUUGUAAAGCACUUUCAGCGAGGAGGAAAGGUUGGUAGCGAAUAACUGCCAGCUGUGACGUACUCGCAG
RNAcentral lists this ribosomal RNA (468 nucleotides) under Aeromonas sp. AE158. RNAcentral describes it as "bacterial SSU rRNA". It matches the Rfam family "Bacterial small subunit ribosomal RNA", at positions 29 to 484 of the family's 1533-position model. Lineage: Bacteria; Pseudomonadati; Pseudomonadota; Gammaproteobacteria; Aeromonadales; Aeromonadaceae. The record is from RNAcentral.